UGCAUGUGUGUUUCGUUUACGUGCAAGACAGGUUUUUAAAUAAACCUUAUCGCUCAGUUCAUGAUGGAUCUAAUAAAAAGAUAAUUCAUAAAACGAGGGUGGUAGACGUUUUGUCCCAAGGAGCUGCAGGAGAAGUGACACAGAAGAAAGGCAAAGGUUAUGUGAGAUAAAGAAGAUGAUAGUGAUUGGCUUCGUGAUCUACACCUUAGUCGUCUUCAGCCGCAAUCAAUGAAGGCUUAAAAAACGAGUAUGAAAAUAAAAUUCCGGCUGAAAAAUUCACAUUUGUUUCUUUUCUCUUUGUAAAAAUAAUAUAAAAAAAUACGGUCACAUGUUUUAUUAUCAAAGCAAGACAAAGUAGCCGGAUCAUGCGAAAAUAGCAUACACAACCAGCCGAAUGGACAGGGGGGACGACAACGCCGAAACGGAGGAACAUCUCGUCGUGUGUGCAAGCGGUUCGGAAAACGAUCCGAUUUCCAGCCGGAACCGAGGGAGAAACGCGAUUUGGAUGAUUGCUUGUGACCACUCUGUUCGUCCUGUAGCUGCUAUAUAUACGUCGUUACUAUCGGGUUGUUGUACAUAAAAUGUCCGUUUUCACGGUAAAGUUUUCCUUCCAGGAACUUCCUUCAUGUUGUCCUUCUGGGACAAAGAGGUCUGCAAAUUUCGCACCCAUCAGUAAAACAAGAAUUAUAUUUCAAGGAUGGGAUUUACAUUGCCGAUCGGCGCCGAUGGUGUUUUUUUAAACAAUCGAAAUACUAUUUUACAAAACAAGGCCGGUGGAUCAGAUUCCGACCGAGUAGCGGAUUUCACCGAGGAUCCCGGCAUUAUUUGCAAUUCAUGAUAUUGCGCAAAUUUUCCUCGAACUGUUACGCGAGACUGGCGAGGAUCAGCGGGCAAGGACGAGCCAGAGGCGCGUUUGAGAAAAAUAAAACGGCCGUUUAACUCGUAGGUGUACAUGCGGCUUCGUGUUUGCCUACCUGACGGUGGAAAGCUUCCAAGCUUUUGUCUACCAGGGCGUAAAAGCAUUUUGUAAGGACGUGAAAGGAUUCGGGAGGACGCCGAGAUGCUAUUUGGGACGGCGGUCGACCCUUCUGAAUUCCAAAGAGCAGCGACUAGCAUAAUGGGAGAUAACCAUCGGCCUCUCUUCACAAAAAAAAGAUCUAUCAAUUACCACAAAUAGCAAAGCCAACAAAAGUUUAAAAUAAACAAGAUCAA
This is a long non-coding RNA of Cimex lectularius (bed bug), 1212 nucleotides long. RefSeq lists it as uncharacterized. The record is from RefSeq and is a predicted model, not a curated record. The transcript has 5 exons. NCBI's taxonomy places the organism in Eukaryota, Metazoa, Arthropoda, Insecta, Hemiptera, Cimicidae.